RNAcentral lists this transfer RNA (85 nucleotides) under Candidatus Nanohalarchaeota archaeon. RNAcentral's name for it is "Candidatus Nanohaloarchaeota archaeon tRNA-Ser". It matches the Rfam family "tRNA". Rfam says of the family: Transfer RNA (tRNA) molecules are approximately 80 nucleotides in length. Their secondary structure includes four short double-helical elements and three loops (D, anti-codon, and T loops). RNAcentral also lists the same sequence under 1 other name. Lineage: Archaea; Nanobdellati; Candidatus Nanohalarchaeota. The record is from RNAcentral.
GUCGGGAUCGCAUAGCUCGGUAUUGCGGUAGCCUGCUAAGUUACUGUCCUUGGACACGGGGGUUCAAAUCCCCCUCCCGACGCCA